Molecule: long non-coding RNA, 789 nt
Filed under: Homo sapiens (human)
Lineage: Eukaryota; Metazoa; Chordata; Mammalia; Primates; Hominidae
Description: HSALNT0086290
Source: RNAcentral
GGCCUUUAUUUCAUUCCUUUGUGUGUUUAGGUGUGUUGCUGUGCUGACUAGAAAUUACAGCAUAAUGUUAGAGAAAUUGUACUAGCAAUUAAAAUGUCAAUUUAUGUGAAUUUGAAAAAAUGCAUAAAAAUCCUACAUGUAAACAAGAAAAAAAUACAACUCAAAGAAAAAUAAGCAAAAGCUCUGGACAGGAAAUACAGAGAAGAGUCACAUAUGGUCAAUACAUAUAUAAAAAGAUAUUUAGCUUCAUUAAUGAUCAGAGAACUAAAGAAACAAUACAAUUUUACAUUUGUCAGAUUGGUAACAAUCUAAAAACUUUUUUCAUUGUCAAUUUUGUACAAUUGUAAAAAACACGUAACACACAAUUUACUAUCUUAAACAUUUUGAAGUGUGCAGUUUAGUACUUUAAGUAUGUUUUCGUUAUUGUGAGCAAAUACCCACAACGUUUUCGUCUUGCAGAUCUGAAACUCUAUACCCAUUAAACAAAACCUUCGCUUUACACGCCCCCUGCCCCCGCAAUCUGUCCGUGGUAACCGCCAUUCUGUUUUCUGUUUCUAUGAAUUUAACUACUUUAGAUUCCUGAUAUAAAAGGAAUCAUGCAAUAUUUGUCCUUUUGUGCUGGCUUAUUUCAGUUAUCAUAAUGCCUUCAAGGUUCAUCCAUUUGUAGCAUGUAACAGGAUAGCCUUCUUUGGAAGACUGAAUAAUAUCCUAAUAUAUAUAUUAUCUAACAUAAUAUAUUAUAUAACAUAUAACAUAAUAUAUUAUAUAACAUAUAAUAUAAUAUAUUAU